UAACACAUGCAAGUUGNCAGUCGACAGCGCACNNGAGAGCUUGCUCUCUGGGUGGNGAGUGGCGGACGGGUGAGGAAUACAUCGGAAUCUACCUUUUCGUGGGGGAUAACGUAGGGAAACUUACGCUAAUGCCGCAUACGACCUACGGGUGAAAGUGGGGGACCGCAAGGCCUCNCNNGAUUAGAUGAGCCGAUGUCCGAUUAGCUAGUUGGCGGGGUAAUGGCCCACCAAGGCGACGAUCGGUAGCUGGUCUGAGAGGAUGAUCACCCACACUGGAACUGANACACGGUCCAGACUCCUACGGGAGGCACCAGUGGGGAAUAUUGGACAAUGGGCGCAAGCCUGAUCCAGCCAUACCGCGUGGGUGAAGAAGGCCUUCGGGUUGUAAAGCCCUUUUGUUGGGAAAGAAAUCCUAUCGGUUAAUAACCGGUGGGGAUGACGGUACCCAAAGAAUAAGCACCGGCUAACUUCGUGCCAGCAGCCGCGGUAAUACGAAGGGUGCAAGCGUUACUCGGAAUUACUGGGCGUAAAGCGUGCGUAGGUGGUGGUUUAAGUCUGCUGUGAAAGCCCUGGGCUCAACCUGGGAAUUGCAGUGGAUACUGGAUCACUAGAGUGUGGUAGAGGGAUGCGGAAUUUCUGGUGUAGCAGUGAAAUGCGUAGAGAUCAGAAGGAACAUCCGUGGCGAAGGCGGCAUCCUGGGCCAACACUGACACUGAGGCACGAAAGCGUGGGGAGCAAACAGGAUUAGAUACCCUGGUAGUCCACUCCCUAAACGAUGCGAACUGGAUGUUGGGUGCNNNNUGGCANNCNGUNAUCGAAGCUAACGCUUNAGUNUCCCCGNCUG
Molecule: ribosomal RNA, 844 nt
Filed under: Stenotrophomonas maltophilia
Lineage: Bacteria; Pseudomonadati; Pseudomonadota; Gammaproteobacteria; Lysobacterales; Lysobacteraceae
Description: partial 16S ribosomal RNA
Rfam family: Bacterial small subunit ribosomal RNA
Source: RNAcentral